RNAcentral lists this ribosomal RNA (467 nucleotides) under uncultured bacterium. Its description in RNAcentral is "SSU rRNA". It matches the Rfam family "Bacterial small subunit ribosomal RNA", at positions 26 to 518 of the family's 1533-position model. The record is from RNAcentral.
AGGAUUAACGCUGGCGGCGUGCCUAACACAUGCAAGUCGAACGAGAGUAGCAAUACUCUAGUGGCAGACGGGUGAGUAACGCGUGGUCAACCUUCCCUUUAGUGGGGGAUAACUAGCCGAAAGGUUAGCUAAUACCGCAUACGAUCUAUGAGUGGCAUCAUUUAUAGAUGAAAGAAGCAAUUCGCUUAAGGACGGGACCGCGUCCCAUUAGUUAGUUGGUGGGGUAACGGCCUACCAAGACUCCGAUGGGUAGCUGGUUUGAGAGAGCGACCAGCCACACUGGGACUGAGAAACGGCCCAGACUCCUACGGGAGGCAGCAGUGAGGAAUUUUCCGCAAUGGGCGAAAGCCUGACGGAGCGACGCCGCGUGUGGGAAGAAGGCCUUCGGGUCGUAAACCACUGUCGAAGGGGAAGAUAUUGACGGUACCCUUGGAGGAAGCCCCGGCUAACUACGCGCCAGCAGCCGC